Molecule: ribosomal RNA, 111 nt
Filed under: Fibrobacterales bacterium
Lineage: Bacteria; Pseudomonadati; Fibrobacterota; Fibrobacteria; Fibrobacterales
Source: RNAcentral
UGGCGGCUAUAGGUGGCGGGUAAUACCCGUUCCCUUCCCGAACACGGAAGUCAAGCCGUCCAUCGCCGAUGAUACCUGGUCGUUAUGACCCGGAAAAGUAGGUCGCCGCCA